RNAcentral lists this unclassified non-coding RNA (721 nucleotides) under Hevea brasiliensis (rubber tree). Lineage: Eukaryota; Viridiplantae; Streptophyta; Magnoliopsida; Malpighiales; Euphorbiaceae. The record is from RNAcentral.
AUUGAUAGUUUACAAUAAAUUUCAAUCAAGAUUAAGAUGAGUUUGGGUAUUGAAAUUAUUAAUCAGGUUGGAAUUUAAAUAGAAUGAUUUUCAUGAUGAGUAUCUUAUAUGAUACCAUCUUAGGUGAAUGUCAAGAUUACACAUGCAUUUUAUAAGCUCCGUAUACUACAAUGAGGAAUUCAACAUAUACAUUUCACACCCCAUGCUUUCAACGCAGCUUAUAGAACACUUAGAUACUAACACACACACAGAAUGCAGUAAUGAAAACCAACUACGUACGGAUGAAGAGAAUCGAGCAUAAGCAACAGAUUCUCGAUCCAAGCUUCUACCCUUGUUUCUCUGGCCAGAUUGUCAGGACUCAAGCCUCCACCCUCCACCCUUCCCUACACUGCUCACUGCCACACAGUUAAGAUUCAAGCCUCCAAUCCUCCCUUCUGCCUUGUUGCUCGCUUUUCCUUACACACUUUUAUUACUAAGAAUCAUUCCCCAUCUUCAAUGACCACAAAUCGUGCUACCAAAUCAGAUUCAUAAUCUCAGAAGCAGAACUCCAGGAGUGAUUUCAUAGUCAAUAGCAUAAUUUAGGAAAUAAUUAUGCAUUAUCAUUGCUGAUUUUUUACGUAAAUGGUUCCUUAAUUGUCUCUCUCUGAACUAUAAACAUAUUUGCGAUGAAAGUGAAAAGUGUGCAGCCUUAAUAAUAUUAUCGCUCUCACACAAAGCUUAC